Molecule: long non-coding RNA, 714 nt
Filed under: Mus caroli (Ryukyu mouse)
Lineage: Eukaryota; Metazoa; Chordata; Mammalia; Rodentia; Muridae
Description: predicted gene 29529 (MGP_CAROLIEiJ_G0002416.1)
Source: RNAcentral
AAUCCACGGCAGCAUCUCACUCUUUAGCUUUACUCCUGCUUCUCAAACUGCUUUCCUGGGCUUUAUUCCUCAGGAUUCUAGAUGAAAUGUGGUGGAGGCUGAAGUCCAAAUAGGCUUAGUUUUGUGGUGUAAGUAAGGCCAGCCAGAACUCCAGGUUCUCCUCGCUGAACUCCGUCUUCAAGAAGGCACGGAAGGCUGCCACCCCAUCUGUGGAUGCAGAAAGAAAUGGGAGAAAAGACAGACAGCAAGAAGCUUAAGAUCAAAGAUUGCAGAUGAAGGAGACACAAUUUGUCAGCAUCCUGACUAGUCAAGCCUGUUGCUCCUCCACACCUAAUGACACACAGCUACUCUAGGAGCAAGCCAUGUUUCUUGUCCAUGGGCCAGCAUGCAGUAUCAGGGAGAAAUGUUUAAAUCCCAUAGUGACAAUAAUGGUCAGUUCUGAUUAAACCCUCAGAGUUUACUGCCUUUCCACUAAUGCCGAGUUGGCUAAACCCCCGAGUCUGCGGGUAAGCCAAGGUAAUAGGCACUAUACUUCUAUACCCUAAGCUGAGUCCACACCAAAGAGAAGACUCAGGCAGUUGUAAGACAAACUGGAUGGGAAUGUCUCAGGGCCAAGCCUUUCCCACUAUCAGAGAAAUAUCCAACAGAAAUUCAGUCUGUACUACACCCUGCUGCAUGGAUAGUAUUCUCUGUCUCUUUUAGAAAACCUUUGAA